This 580-nucleotide ribosomal RNA is filed under the name uncultured Paenibacillus sp. Its description in RNAcentral is "bacterial SSU rRNA". It matches the Rfam family "Bacterial small subunit ribosomal RNA", at positions 790 to 1368 of the family's 1533-position model. The record is from RNAcentral. Lineage: Bacteria; Bacillati; Bacillota; Bacilli; Caryophanales; Paenibacillaceae.
GUAGUCCACGCCGUAAACGAUGAAUGCUAGGUGUUAGGGGUUUCGAUACCCUUGGUGCCGAAGUUAACACAUUAAGCAUUCCGCCUGGGGAGUACGGUCGCAAGACUGAAACUCAAAGGAAUUGACGGGGACCCGCACAAGCAGUGGAGUAUGUGGUUUAAUUCGAAGCAACGCGAAGAACCUUACCAGGUCUUGACAUCCCUCUGACCGCUCUAGAGAUAGGGCUUUCCUUCGGGACAGAGGAGACAGGUGGUGCAUGGUUGUCGUCAGCUCGUGUCGUGAGAUGUUGGGUUAAGUCCCGCAACGAGCGCAACCCUUGAUCUUAGUUGCCAGCACUUCGGGUGGGCACUCUAGGAUGACUGCCGGUGACAAACCGGAGGAAGGUGGGGAUGACGUCAAAUCAUCAUGCCCCUUAUGACCUGGGCUACACACGUACUACAAUGGCCGAUACAACGGGAAGCGAAACCGCGAGGUGGAGCGAAUCCUAUCAAAGUCGGUCUCAGUUCGGAUUGCAGGCUGCAACUCGCCUGCAUGAAGUCGGAAUUGCUAGUAAUCGCGGAUCAGCAUGCCGCGGUGAAUA